AUUAGAUCAUCUCAUCACGAGGCACUUGUUCUUUACAUACACAGAUCUUCCCCCAGGCCGAUUGACUGACUUGCGAGCUGCGGCUGUCAACAAUGAAAAUUUUGCACGUGUUGCUGUUAAGCACAGUCUUCAUUUACACCUUCGUCAUGGAUCCAGUGCUCUAGAAAAACAGAUUCGUGACUUUGUGAAUGAGGUUAAAAAUGAACUAUCAAAA
This 214-nucleotide unclassified non-coding RNA is filed under the name Hevea brasiliensis (rubber tree). Lineage: Eukaryota; Viridiplantae; Streptophyta; Magnoliopsida; Malpighiales; Euphorbiaceae. The record is from RNAcentral.